AAAUGAAUAACUUACAUUCACUUCACAAUUAGUAACUUUGAUUCACUUCAAAACAUAAAAUAAAUUUUCAAAAUUAAUAGCAACAUCUAGUUAAAUCUUUUCACUAUACAAUGUAAUAAAAUCAUCAACCAUCAUACUUCAUGUACUUCUAUGACACUUGUUAUCUUGGUUUCCCUAACAGGCCUCAAUGGUGCUUCGUCGUCACCUUGAGCGUUCAUGAAUUUCUUUUGGUGGUGGAUCCUGAAAAUCAUCAUCUGAAUCAACUGAACGUUUAUCAUCAACUCCAUCCUACUCUGGUAUUUUAAACUUUGACAUUUCCCUUUAAGUUGUCUCUAUGUUCUUAAAUACAACCUAGGAAUAUAGAAAAAAUAUGUUAAAGUAUCUGUUAAACAAUUAUAACGCAAAUGUAUACAUGUAGACUAUAAAAUACAUAUCUCGUCAAAAAUGAAGUCGUACCUAUUACCGACACAAAUACAAAUAUGUCCAUAACCACAAAUGUAUUGGUAUAUUUCCACAAUAUACUGAAAAUACAUAUAGCCAAAUACCUCUUCAUGAGUAGUUCAUAUAUAAAUGUAUUUUUUCAUAUAUGCAAGUUAGCAAAUUCAUUUAACAUACAAAUACAACUAAACAUAGCAACUUUACAAAAGAUACAAAUAAAUACAUGUUAACCCAAAAUGUAUACUAAACCUAUCAUCUUCACAAAUCAGCUUUACUGAAAUUCCUAAAUACAUAUCAGCUGAUCAGUAAAUACAUAUUAGCUUCACAAAAAAAUACAUAUUACCCAAAUUGAUAACAACUUUAAUGAAAUCCCUAAAUAUAUAACAGUAAAUAAAAAUACAUAUACAACGAAAAAUACCUCUUCCUCCAUGUAUUCUUCAGAUUCAUUAGCAGAAGAGUUCUCAACAUCGUCAUCAACAUUGCUUGACUUUGCAAUUUCUUAUGCUUUUCUUUUCUUCUCAUAUUUUUUAUUUUUUUAUAUUUUGGAGAAGGAAUUUUUUUCAACCAUUUUUUUUUAAAAUAUCAACCAUCUUCGAAAAAAUCCAACAAACAACAACAACAAAUCAACCCAAAAUCAUCUACAAUAUCUAUUCAACUCCGAUUAUCCUCCAUUAAUCGCAACUAAACAAAAACCCAGUUCCAAUUAUCAUCUAAUUUUUUUUUCAACUAUAUCAACUCAUAAAACAUCAAAUUUUACUGAAAAACAAACAAAACAAAAUUCAGCAAAGCCGAUCGCCUUGAUUCUUUGUUAACAACUACAAAAAUCAAAACCUUAAAAAUAAAGUGGAGAAAUUAUUUACAGUACAAAAUUAAAAAAAAUAUUGAGAAAUUGAUAAUAUGCAAUAACUGAAUUAAUUAGUUACCUGAAAUUGUGGAACAAUAUCCUUAUCAGAUCGUGCAAAAGACGUUAAGAAGGAAAAAAUUUUGAAAGAGAAAAUUUAAGAAAAAGCGUGAAAAAUGGUAAAGUAAAAAGCAAUUAAAGAAAAGAGAAAGAUUUUAAGCGUGAAAAAUGAAACCUCAAAUAUGGUAAUUUCUGAGAGGCGGUAAGUGUGGUCUCCCACUUAAAAUAAUGCUAAGUUUUCUACACAAGGUAAUUUCAUUAAAGUGUUGCUAUUUUUUAUAAUCUAAGUGUUAAGUAUGCUACUCCCUAUAGUUUUUGCCCUUAUAAUAAUCAAAUCCUAUAUUUUUGGAAAAAGUUUCUUUUUUUUUUUUUUUGGAAAAGUCAAGUACAAACACAAAUCAAAUAAUAGCUUUUUCCUUUUUUUUUUUGGAGAAGUGACGUACGUAACGUGCA
This 1792-nucleotide long non-coding RNA is filed under the name Capsicum annuum. Its description in RNAcentral is "long non-coding RNA (CANN_LNC017419)". The record is from RNAcentral. Lineage: Eukaryota; Viridiplantae; Streptophyta; Magnoliopsida; Solanales; Solanaceae.